RNAcentral lists this ribosomal RNA (492 nucleotides) under uncultured bacterium. RNAcentral describes it as "bacterial SSU rRNA". It matches the Rfam family "Bacterial small subunit ribosomal RNA", at positions 1 to 507 of the family's 1533-position model. The record is from RNAcentral.
AGACGUCUACGUAGUUGAUCAGUGGCUCAGGACGAACGCUGGCGGCGUGCUUAACACAUGCAAGUCGAACGGUAAGGCCCUUCGGGGUACACGAGUGGCGAACGGGUGAGUAACACGUGGGUGAUCUGCCCUGCACUUCGGGAUAAGCCUGGGAAACUGGGUCUAAUACCGGAUAGGACUCCGGACUGCAUGGUCUGGGGUGGAAAGCUUUUGCGGUGUGGGAUGGGCCCGCGGCCUAUCAGCUUGUUGGUGGGGUGAUGGCCUACCAAGGCGACGACGGGUAGCCGGCCUGAGAGGGUGUCCGGCCACACUGGGACUGAGAUACGGCCCAGACUCCUACGGGAGGCAGCAGUGGGGAAUAUUGCACAAUGGGCGCAAGCCUGAUGCAGCGACGCCGCGUGGGGGAUGACGGCCUUCGGGUUGUAAACCUCUUUCAGUAGGGACGAAGCGCAAGUGACGGUACCUAUAGAAGAAGCACCGGCCAACUACGUG